This is a long non-coding RNA of Peromyscus californicus insignis, 820 nucleotides long. RefSeq lists it as uncharacterized. The record is from RefSeq and is a predicted model, not a curated record. NCBI's taxonomy places the organism in Eukaryota, Metazoa, Chordata, Mammalia, Rodentia, Cricetidae. The transcript is spliced from 3 exons.
UCUGCAGUCCCAUCUCAGGAUGCUGGGCGGUGGCAGUGAGUCGCAGCUCUUGAGUCAGCCACGCUGCCACUCUGGGAAACAGUGGAUACGUUACCAAUAUGUGUGGCUAAGGUCUGGUGUCCAGCAGAUUGGUACAUGAUCAAAUGCCGAGAGUUCCUCAGCUAGCCGUGGGAUUUCAUGCCCACCUUCUCCCUCUGUGCCUGGAUUUUGUCUGGCUUGAGGUGCACAGCUCUAACACAUGUCAUCACAGUCCCUGCUCCUUGGAUUUGUGGAAAGCAUGAAGCCAGGUUGCUCUGCUUGCUUCUGCCUUCUGCACUGUACCAGACUUCUCGUGAUGAUAGCUCUGAGCUAACCGUCUGAUUGACGGAGAGGAGGAGAGAGAAGCCGAUGGAAGGGGAACCCACCGAAUCUCAAAAUACAGAAUCCUGUCCCACAAGCAGGAGACAGCCAAGGUUCCCCAAACUCGGAAGUGGGAGAGGAGUAGAAGGGGAUGGACCUGAGACGUGUGAAGAAGAACUGUGGCUGUAUGCAGACCAGUGAGGUGUGGGCAUCGCAGAACGGAGUCUGAAGCAGCCCUGUGAUACAAGCACAUCCCUAGAACAAAGUAGUUAGUGAUUGUCAUUCUAAAUGGACCUUCAGUUACCUACAAGUCAAUAACCGACUCAUCUACCCACUGUACUCAGUAAACUCAACACAAUAGAAAUGAACAUGUAUAUAUCCUGGGCUGUGGAGAUGGCUCAGCAGGUAAAGGUUGCUGGAGAGACUGAUGACCUGAGUUCAAUCCCUGGGACCCUCACAGUAGAAGAGGAGAGUUGAAUUC